AAAUUGAAGAGUUUGAUCAUGGCUCAGAUUGAACGCUGGCGGCAGGCCUAACACAUGCAAGUCGAACGGUAGCACAGAGGAGCUUGCUCCUUGGGUGACGAGUGGCGGACGGGUGAGUAAUGUCUGGGAAACUGCCCGAUGGAGGGGGAUAACUACUGGAAACGGAAGCUAAUACCGCAUAACGUCGCAAGACCAAAGAGGGGGACCUUCGGGCCUCUUGCCAUCGGAUGUGCCCAGAUGGGAUUAGCUAGUAGGUGGGGUAACGGCUCACCUAGGCGACGAUCCCUAGCUGGUCUGAGAGGAUGACCAGCCACACUGGAACUGAGACACGGUCCAGACUCCUACGGGAGGCAGCAGUGGGGAAUAUUGCACAAUGGGCGCAAGCCUGAUGCAGCCAUGCCGCGUGUAUGAAGAAGGCCUUCGGGUUGUAAAGUACUUUCAGCGAGGAGGAAGGCGUUGUGGUUAAUAACCGCAA
This 475-nucleotide ribosomal RNA is filed under the name Citrobacter freundii. RNAcentral describes it as "bacterial SSU rRNA". It matches the Rfam family "Bacterial small subunit ribosomal RNA", at positions 1 to 472 of the family's 1533-position model. Lineage: Bacteria; Pseudomonadati; Pseudomonadota; Gammaproteobacteria; Enterobacterales; Enterobacteriaceae. The record is from RNAcentral.